GCACGGAGUUAGCCGGGGCUUCUUCCCUCGAUACUGUCAGCCUGCCGACGUAUUAAGUCGGCAGGUAUUCAUCUCGGUCGAAGGGAGUUUACGACCCGAAGGUCUUCAUCCUCCACGCGGCGUUGCGUCGUCAGGCUUGCGCCCAUUGCGAACAAUUCCCUACUGCUGCCUCCCGUAGGAGUCUGGGCCGUGUCUCAGUCCCAGUGUGUCCGUCCGCCCUCUCAGGCCGGAUACCGAUCGAAGCCUUGGUGAGCCAUUACCUCACCAACUAGCUAAUCGGACGCGGGCCCCUCUCCAAGCGUCAGGUCUUGCGAUCCCCGACUUUGAUGUCCGUGUAUCCAAACACGGGAUGUCAUGCGGUAUUAGCCCUCCUUUCGGAAGGUUAUCCCCCACUCGAAGGUAGGUCGCCCACGCGUUACUCACCCGUUUGCCACUCUACUCAUCCCUUGCGGGACUUUCGCGUUCGACUUGCAUGUAUUAGGCACGCCGCCAGCGUUGAUU
Molecule: ribosomal RNA, 501 nt
Filed under: uncultured bacterium
Lineage: Bacteria
Description: partial 16S rRNA
Source: RNAcentral